UGAUUUUAAGGAAAUUCCCAAAGAGGAAUGGUUCUGUUCCCGUGAAUGCAGUACGAUUCAUGCUGCAUUGCAAAGGUCGGUUAUUUAUGGUGAAGUCCAACUCCAGUUAUCGGACUUGGAUAUUAUAAAGAAGCACAGGGAAUCAGACUCCAAUGCCAAUGCCAAUAUAAGAUGGAGACUUCUUAACCGCAAAACUAUUGGUCCUGAAACGAAAUCGUUGUAUACAGCAGCAGUCUCUAUUUUGCAUGAAUCAUUUGAUGCCAUUG
This 266-nucleotide unclassified non-coding RNA is filed under the name Hevea brasiliensis (rubber tree). Lineage: Eukaryota; Viridiplantae; Streptophyta; Magnoliopsida; Malpighiales; Euphorbiaceae. The record is from RNAcentral.